Molecule: ribosomal RNA, 408 nt
Filed under: uncultured bacterium
Lineage: Bacteria
Description: bacterial SSU rRNA
Rfam family: Bacterial small subunit ribosomal RNA
Source: RNAcentral
UGGGGAAUAUUGCGCAAUGGGCGGAAGCCUGACGCAGCGACGCCGCGUGAGGGAUGACGGCCUUCGGGUUGUAAACCUCUUUCAGCAGGGACGAAGCGUAAGUGACGGUACCUGCAGAAGAAGCACCGGCCAACUACGUGCCAGCAGCCGCGGUAAGACGUAGGGUGCAAGCGUUGUCCGGAUUUAUUGGGCGUAAAGAGCUCGUAGGCGGCUCGUCGCGUCGACCGUGAAAACCUUAGGCUUAACCUGGGGCUUGCGGUCGAUACGGGCGGGCUAGAGUUCGGUAGGGGAGACUGGAAUUCCUGGUGUAGCGGUGAAAUGCGCAGAUAUCAGGAGGAACACCGGUGGCGAAGGCGGGUCUCUGGGCCGAUACUGACGCUGAGGAGCGAAAGCGUGGGGAGCGAACAG